Molecule: long non-coding RNA, 642 nt
Filed under: Monodelphis domestica (gray short-tailed opossum)
Lineage: Eukaryota; Metazoa; Chordata; Mammalia; Didelphimorphia; Didelphidae
Description: lncRNA (ENSMODG00000044212.1)
Source: RNAcentral
UGCUCAUCCUGCAUAAUAAAGUUCAGAUGAAGUUGCCUCGCCUGCCCUGGUCUACUGGGCAUUAGAACUCUGAGGCACAUAAAUACUUCCCUUUGAACAGGUGUUGAAGCUGAGGCAAUGGGGAAAUUAAAUGAGCAGCCCCAGUUCACCCUGAGAAGGAAGCUUACCCAAAAGAUGAUUUUUGGGUAGCAUAAUUCCCAGUGCCACCCCUCUGGAGAAUUUCUGUGUUCCUAAACUGUGGAACAGAUGAAUUAUAGCUCUUAGCUUAUUUGCUGCACUGGGGCAGUAAAGUACAUUGGAAAGAGCACUGCUUCUAGAAUCAAAAAGUAUGAUUUCAGAUCUCACCCUUGGAGCUUACUUAUCUGAUCUCAGAUUCCUGAUGAAAAGACCAAAGCCACGUAGAAACCUUCCAGGGCAAACUCAGGAGAGAAGAGAAACACAAAAAGGAGAGGUAUGCCAGCUCCUUCUGUCCCAGGAACAACUCUAAGACCUAAAGGAAAGAGCUAGGCAAAUGGGAUAAAGUGACUUGUCCAGUGUCACAGAGCUAGGAGGUGUCUGAGGCCAUGUUGAGCAAUGGGCUCCCUGAAAAGAGAAAAGUUAAGCAUAACACUCUUUUAAGUUUAUUCUGCAUAAUUAACAUGC